GAUGAAGAACGCAGCGAAAUGCGAUAAGUAAUGUGAAUUGCAGAAUUCAGUGAAUCAUCGAAUCUUUGAACGCACAUUGCGCCCGCCAGUAUUCUGGCGGGCAUGCCUGUUCGAGCGUCAUUUCAACCCUCAAGCCCCCGGGCUUGGUGUUGGGGAUCGGCGUGCCCUCGCGGCGCGCCGUCCCCUAAAUCUAGUGGCGGUCUCGCUGUAGCUUCCUCUGCGUAGUAGCAACACUCGCACUGGAUCGCAGCGCGGACACGCCGUUAAACCCCCCACUUCUGAAAGUUUGACCUCGGAUCAGGUAGGAAUACCCGCUGAACUUAAGCAUAUCAAUAAGCGGAGGA
This 344-nucleotide unclassified non-coding RNA is filed under the name soil metagenome. RNAcentral's name for it is "partial contains 5.8S ribosomal RNA, internal transcribed spacer 2, and large subunit ribosomal RNA". The stretch from base 1 to 120 matches the Rfam family "5.8S ribosomal RNA", at positions 35 to 154 of the family's 154-position model. The record is from RNAcentral.